RNAcentral lists this ribosomal RNA (517 nucleotides) under uncultured bacterium. RNAcentral describes it as "bacterial SSU rRNA". It matches the Rfam family "Bacterial small subunit ribosomal RNA", at positions 355 to 889 of the family's 1533-position model. The record is from RNAcentral.
UGGGGAAUAUUGGACAAUGGGGGCAACCCUGAUCCAGCAAUGCCGCGUGAGUGAUGAAGGCCUUAGGGUUGUAAAGCUCUUUCGCCCACGACGAUGAUGACGGUAGUGGGAGAAGAAGCCCCGGCUAACUUCGUGCCAGCAGCCGCGGUAAUACGAAGGGGGCGAGCGUUGUUCGGAAUUACUGGGCGUAAAGGGCGCGCAGGCGGCCUUUGAAGUCAGGCGUGAAAGCCCCGGGCUCAACCUGGGAAUUGCGCUUGAUACUCUUAGGCUUGAGUACGGGAGAGGAGAGUGGAAUUCCCAGUGUAGAGGUGAAAUUCGUAGAUAUUGGGAAGAACACCGGUGGCGAAGGCGGCUCUCUGGACCGUAACUGACGCUGAGGCGCGAAAGCGUGGGGAGCAAACAGGAUUAGAUACCCUGGUAGUCCACGCCGUAAACGAUGUGCGCUAGACGUUGGAGGCCCUAGGUCUCCGGUGUCGCAGCUAACGCGUUAAGCGCACCGCCUGGGGAGUACGGCCGC